CUGUGUUCCUCUGUCCCGUUGGUCUGUGAACCUCUCAAAGGUCUCCCUCCUGCCCGCCCUGCUCUCUGCUGUACUGAGCAGGGCCUGUGGCGACGGUCGCCAGGGAGCAUCUCCUGAUCAAUGGCUCCAUUUCCAAGGACGGCAGACACCAUGGAAAUGGAUUUGUGAGGCAGAAGGGCCUCUCAUGGAAGACAGCAGAAAGAGGAAAGAUGACAUGAAGACCAAGCCCCACAAGGAGAAUCCCGAAUGGAGACAGAGCAUCUUCUUGAACUCGACUCUCAUGAGGAAACCCCGAAGCCGACACUGCAGCAACGUCAUGAUCUUGGCCAGACGCUCGUCCCUCAUGUCCUCGAGCUUGGCCAGGAUGCCUGCUCUGAAGAACACCUGGAGAAGAGGCACUUGUCUGAAAAGGGUCCAGCUGUCUCCCAAUGGCAGCCACUUGGGGAAGUUUUAAAUCAAAGAACCAUCAUGUCACAAGGGACUUUAAAGUUAAGAGACCCCACUGGUGCUGGUGCUGAUACUUAAGGUCCCACGGAAACAGCUGGCCCAGCCUGGACACCCCUGCCUGUGUUAGCAUCCGUUUCCUCUUCGUAGCCUGUCAGCUGGGCUCCAGUCCCAGCUUUGCACUUCCUAACUGGGUCACCUUGGACACAUCUCAGCCUCAGUUCUUCCUCUGUGAAAUGGGGAUGCAAAUCCUUCCCUUAGAGCGUUGCUAUAAAGAUUAAAUGAGAUAAUAGGUGGAAAAGUUCUUCAAGGCUCCAGGUAAAAUGUGAUGGAUCCUUAUAUAAUACGGUGAUUGCCCUGCAGUCAGAGUGGCAAGGGGCCUUCCUUCCU
Molecule: long non-coding RNA, 834 nt
Organism: Sciurus carolinensis (gray squirrel)
Lineage: Eukaryota; Metazoa; Chordata; Mammalia; Rodentia; Sciuridae
Exons: 3
Source: RefSeq, a predicted model, not a curated record